Non-coding RNA from Cyanistes caeruleus (blue tit), 5842 nucleotides. Lineage: Eukaryota; Metazoa; Chordata; Aves; Passeriformes; Paridae. The record is from RefSeq and is a predicted model, not a curated record.
GCCCGGGUGCCAUGAGGGCUCUGAGGCUGGCAGGUGAGUGCCCGGGUGCCAUGAGGGGUUUGAGGCUGGCAGGUGAGUGCCCGGGUGCCAUGAGGGCUCUGAGGCUGGCAGGUGAGUGCCCGGGUGCCAUGAGGGCUCUGAGGCUGGCAGGCUCCUGGACUCAGAACACCCAUUCCACACCUGGUAAGAAUAUAUCCACAGGUCCCUGCUGCUCCUCAGUGAAACCAUCCUCGGGGCAGAUCUUCAUCGGGUGUAGGAGAAACAGCAAAGCUGCUUCAUUCAGAUGUACCCACAUCUACUUCCCACUGUAGCUGUGCAAGCUACAUGUCUGCAUUCUGCUCUGCUCUGCCUCAGCUGAACUCUGCUGCAGAUGAAGGAGGAAGAUGUCCUGAUGAGAAGGAACGAAGAGGGAUGACAGCAGGAUCUUGUUGAGUUCACAUUGAUGCCGCUUCCUGAGUGCAUUUGUAUUGACAAAUUGGAGUUGUAACAGUGUCUGAGCAGAACUAAAGCAGUGGGAUAGAGGAUCAUGUACUUGCUCGAAAAUAAUUCCUGAUAAGAAAAAGAUAGAGCUGUCCAGUGUCGAAGGAUAGCCCAAAGACCUUAUAUUUUUUAAAGAUUCAGCAUUUAAAAAUGUUCUUCUGUGUUCAGCACUGCCCUCCUGCCUUGGCAGCCAUUCUCCACCUGCCAUGUAUCUCUAAUGUUUAGAGCAAGCCAGAUUGUCCUCUUAUCCUCUGUUGUAGAAGACUACAACAAGCUAAGCUCAUCACAAUUUUUGUGCCAGAUCAGUUCUCCCUUUUCAGGUGAUCUCAGAAAAACUAUUCUUCACCUGUUUCAGUUUAUACCCAUUGUUCUCUAAGGUGAGAUGUCAGGAAUGUGUAUAUCUAACAGGCUUUGAGGACCAGCACUAGAAUCACAGAAUAACAGGUUGGAAGGCACCUUAAAGAGGAUCUGGUCCAAUCUUUCUUGGGAAAGGCAUUGUCUAGACAAGAAUGUCCAGCAGCCAGUCAAGAUUAAUCUUAAAAGUGUCCAAUGUUGAGGAAUCUGCCACUUCUCUGGGGAGAUUAUUCCAAAGGUUAAUUGUUCUCACUGUGAAAAAUUUUCCUUACACGUCUAAUAGAAAUUUCCCAGGAUUAACUACACCCCUCAUCUUUUCCAUAUGACUCCUUGCAAAAAAGUGAAUAUUCCUCUUCUUUGUAGCCACCUUUUAAAUACAGGAACACGGUGCACACAAAUAGUUCCCUGUUCCUUGGUGUCCUUCCCCAUGUCAUGCUCAGAAAUGCCUAAAGGUAAGCACAGAUGUUUGGAGGAAUCUGAAAGUUAUACUGACUAUCUCAGCAUAUAUGAACCUGAUGCUAAAGAGCAUAUGGAAAAAAGGCUGUAAGAGAAAAUUGCUUUCAGAAAUGCUGACCAAAACCCAUGUCUACUGUUCCUUCUCUACACUUCUGCAGAUUUAUCUCAGGUUUCAUAGUGCCACUGGAUUUACAGGGCCAGGCUCUUGCACAGAACCAGAUGAUUGUUGUGGGUUCCUUCCAACUCAAACAUUCUGUCAUUCUACACAAUAUUGGGUGGGGUUUAAAUUACAAAUACAGUUGUAGCACCAAAUUUAUGCCAAAGCUCUCUUCCCCACAACUGAAGGGCUUCAAUUAACCCUUUCCUCCUACUCCUCCCUGCUCUGCCAGUUGGGAAUGGGCUCUGUGCAGAAAAGCUAGAACUCAGUCCUCAUAUAAUUGACAGCAAACAUAACUAUCAAAAUAGGUUUCAAAAUUAUUUUGUAGCUCCUGCAUUAUCUCCACUGCACAGCACCUACUGAGCUGUUACCAACAGCCAUGCUAGAGAAAAAAUAUUUUAAAAUUUCUUUUACCAAUGUGUCUGACAGAUUGACUGCAGAGCCUCAGCCCCUGUAACCUAGUAUCUCUGCAGUGAUUUCAGUGGUUUGAAAAGCACUUUGACCUGUUGAAAAGAUAGAUUUGUAAUAUCACGACUUAAAAAAAUCUAAAAAUAAGUUUUAUUUUACUUUUUAUGUGAAACUACCUUUUAAAAUUCACAUGUCACACAACACAAGACAACAAGAACAGAGGAGAAAAUGCAUAAUUUCUUUAGAAAAAAAAUUCCAAAGUUUUAAAAUUAACAUUACUGCCAAGAAAAGUGUUGCUCUGUGGCAGUAGGUACUCCUUCUUUCCCUAGAAAGUACUCUAAAUGUCCUAUGUUAUGGUUAUAGCAUUUCCCGUUCCAGCUGCUCAAUAUCCACAUCAUGAAAUAUACGCAUCUUGCAAAAAGGCUGUUGCUAUGGAGACCUCAAAUAUUUAAUUGGAGAAAAAAAUAGCUGAAUAAGCUUUCAUUUACAAGCCAACAAAAGGUGUUUGACAGCCUUAACUCAAGGAAUGCUUUCUUUUCUUUUGCUUCCCUUAUACUUCCUAUUUUAUUUUUUUUAUAUAUUCUCAAAACAAAUGUUUCUACUUAAUUUUCUAUUCUGUUUAUCUCUGUAUUUGAACAGGAAAGGUUUUUAGGAAAUCCAGAAUGAGGACUUAACACUUCUGAUGGGAAUGGUGGCUGUUCUAUGUCUCUUGUUACAGUGGUACUAAUGUUUGAAUGGGCUCAUUUUCUGCUUUAACCAGAAUAAAUCAGUACCCUGAGCACACAUAUUGCACAAUAUUAUGACUGCAGAAAAAAGUCUACAUUCCUCAUCUGUGAGCAAUUAUUCUCCCUUGCAAAUGGCUUCAACGUCUAGGACCCACCUGACGAGUUUGAGAUAAGUGAAUAUACUGCUUUUUAAAAAUACCCCAACAACUAUUUCUCAUUUACACAUAGAUGAGAUAAAUCAGCGGGGUUGAAGUUAAAUGGGGUUCUUUAAAAGUCUCAGCUCCAGCCUAUUUGGUUGACGAAGAGAAGUCUGUGCCCGUUUAACUUUUAUUUAAUUUUCAUUUAACAAGAGCAAUUGUGCAAAUCAACCAGAACCAUCACCUUUGUUUAGACUUUCAUGAGUUUCAAUUUUUUUUAAACCUGAGCUGAUUCAACCCUCUCAUUUGCAUUUCUUCCUUUCAGAAAAGUUCAAAUAUCUUCCCUAAGUAAUCUCUAGAAACCAAAACUAUGUUUCUUUCAGAGAUUUCAGAAGAAAUACUGUUUCCUGGCAACCUCUACACACAAGGAUUGGCAGAGUUCUGCUUCUCCCCUAACCAGCAAUGCUCCCUCCUAGAACAGCUGAUAAUUGCAGUGCAUCUGGGGCAAGAGAGAAACAUCAGCAGAGUUCUGGUCUGGAUUGCAAACCCCCAACAUGGAGCACAGUGGGUUACUCCAGGCCUGACUUAGCCUCUGGAUAGAUGGCUAACAGGGUGAAGCCAUGGCUCAGCCAUAUGGUGGAGCCUGAUGGUCACAUGUUCUACCAUAUGCUUUAAUACUGCUCGUAAAUGUCCUUAGCAAAUUAAUGAAAAAUUAAAGGGACACUUCACUAUAUCUACAGAUUUGAUCAGUAGGUUGGCUGAUUUGCCUCACUGCUAUUUUCAGUUCCUGGAUAAUUUCCUUCCAAAACUACUAGUAAAUCUACAGAAUAAAAAAGCAGUAUUUGUAGAACCAUAAAACCAUGAGAUCACUGAAUUUCAGUGUACUUAAAAAUACUCAAAUAUACCUAGAAAGGAAUUCACAGUUGUCACAGAAAUAGAAUAUUCACUUGGUGGUUCCUGAAUGCUUGAGAAACUUCAAAAGUUUGUUCAGUUUUUUUAUGAUCUCUUUAUUGGAUUUUGAACUAUCUGUUUAGUUGCUUAACACUUAAUACAGUAAAAAUUAUGUGAAAUUUUACUAAUACUCAUUGUAUCAGAGGACGGUUCAUAGCUUUUCAAUGAGAUUUUGUGUCUUGGAAAUAACCAGCUGUCUAGAGGAAGUCAAUGACAGUUCCAGAACUGCUUCCUCAAGGUAGAGGAAGCCACAUCGAGUACUGAAAUUAGCAGAGAGCCUUAGAAGCAAUUGGAGGAUACAGAAGAGAUGUUGAAAGCCUUUGUGUGGCUUCACUGGUAGACUCUGCAACUUUGUGAAUUUGCAGGUUGCUUUGGUGCUGUAUCAAUGACAAAAAAGUUUUAAAUCCCUAGAAAAUUAGUGUCAGUGCAUCCUGACAGAUGCACUCUUAGAGUGACUCUAAUAAGGAUUAAAAAAUAUUGACUUAUCCACCAAAAUCUGGUCCUUACAUGAGACAAUUUGUUUGGAAGGGGAAAAAUACAACAUAUGAACUUGACCAAGGAAAACCAGGCUUGAGGGACUUACUACAUGCUGAGACUCCUCAGUCACAAAAAAUAUUCCUCCAGAAUGGAACUGUGCUUAUCUGUUUUCCAGGGGUUUUGAGAGCUGCAUACACUCACUGUGCAUUGACACUGCUGCGUUGAAUAUUAGACUCUGCUGUACUCCCUCAUGAUGUGCUGGAAAAAGUAGCUCUUUUUCAUUGUCCUGUGUUCAUGGUUUUUUCAAAAGAAAUUCACAACUCAAACAAAUGGGAAUUAUGCCUCCCACUGUACCAUCAUGGGAACUGUUGAUGCACAUAGACAAGCAUUGCGAUAAAGGAUAAUAAAUGUAAACAAACGGCAAAUUGAAUAAAAAGCCUACAUCAGCUAUUCUGCAUGGAUCUCAUGAGCAGCUUCAUUUGUCUUUCACGAAGGGUCCCUGGUGUUCAAGUGGGUUCAUCCAUGUCCACAAGAGCUUGAACUACAUUGUGCAAACAUUCCAGGUUCAUGCUGUUUUUCUCCUCUGAUUACCCCAAGCAGACACACUCCAAGUGAAGCUGUGAAAAAAGGAAAGCUUAAAAGUCUCAAUGCCAGAUAUUAAGUACUUUGCUUUGUUUUCUCAGUUGUGAUAGUCUUGCUGGCUUCAGAUAAAUUUACCCUGUGUGCAGAAGGGCACAAAUAUAUUGCCCCAAAGUAGGCCCUGAGCACACCCUGUGUUUGGAUAAAGGCACGAACUCCCAGGUGCCAUUUCUAUCAGCCCCUGCAAUGGAAACUGUUCACCCCAAAUUAACCUGACUUUGCUGGGGAAGUGACUUGGAUAAUAAGGCUCAGGAGCAGACACAGAGAACACAGCAUCAACCUUGGACUAUUUGCUGCUGCAAGAAUUGAGCUCAGCAUGAUGUUUCACAAAGAUCCAGAUUUACCCCACCAUCUCCAGUACAGAGUUCUAACAGUAUUACCUGGUUAAAAAAAACCCCAAACCAACAAACAAUAGCAGCAAUGGUACUUCGUGCAAAUAAGAUAGAUCCUGAUGGAAAUUCCUUCUCCUCAUCUGAUUUUCAUUGAACUGCAUUUAAAUAUAACAACAUCUGGAUAAUAGAGAGACAUAUACACAGCUUCAAAAGAAGUUAUUUAUAGUGAAUUCAUGAAGAUUAUACCAACAUUAUAUAUUCCCUCUGUGUAUAGCUCCAUGUGUUCCUUGCUCUAUAUUUUCCUAGUGCUACUUUUCAGUAGAGAAUGUGUUAAAUAUAUAAGCAAGAAUUCAGAAAUCUUUAUUGAGAAAGCUGUAGCAAAACCCUUCGUAUUUUCUUGAAGCUGUAUGGCUUAAUAGUAUCUCUGCAGGUUGAAUAUUAAUGGUUUUGAAUGAAUUAAUUCAGAAAAAGACCAGUGACUUAAAAAAAAAUCAUAACAACCUGCAUCAUCAAACUAUGGAUUGCCAUUUUAAUAUUUGACUGAGGAAUGAUAGCUAGAAAUGUGCUUCAGCUUCAGUUUCCUUUAUUCUUGGCUUUAAUAUAUUGUAUGGUUGUGUUUUAGGCUCAUUUCCAUUCAACUUGUUUUUAGAGAGUCAGAAUAGUAGGAAAUGCAAAUGAAUAGUUUAAACUGUAGCAUUUUAAAAUUGCUAUGAAAUAAAAUCCACA